Molecule: ribosomal RNA, 705 nt
Filed under: uncultured bacterium
Lineage: Bacteria
Description: bacterial SSU rRNA
Rfam family: Bacterial small subunit ribosomal RNA
Source: RNAcentral
UCUGCCUUGCAGUCGGGAAUAUCCCAUGGAAACAUGGUGCAAUACCGGAUACGAACGUCGGCGCACAAGCGCUGGCGAGGAAAGGGGCCAAGGCCCUGCUGCGAGAUGAGUCCGCGUCCCAUUAGCUAGAUGGCGGGGUAAAGGCCCACCAUGGCUGUGAUGGGUAGCCGGCCUGAGAGGGUGAACGGCCACAUUGGGACUGAGAUACGGCCCAGACUUCUACGGGAGGCAGCAGCAAAGAAUCUUCCGCAAUGGACGAAAGUCUGACGGAGCGACGCCGCGUGAGCGAUGAAGGCCGCAAGGUUGUAAAGCUCUUUUCGGGGGGAAGAAUAAUGCCGGCAGGGAAUGGCCGGCGGAUGACAUCAACCCCGGAAUAAGGUCCGGCUAACUACGUGCCAGCAGCCGCGGUAACACGUAGGGACCUAACGUUGUUCGGAAUUAUUGGGCGUAAAGGGCGCGCAGGCGGCCGCUCAAGUCUGGUGUUAAAUGGUCGGGCUCAACCCGAUCAUGCGCUGGAAACUGGGUGGCUUGAGUUCAGGAGGGGAUGCCGGAAUUCCAGGUGUAGGGGUGAAAUCUGUAGAUAUCUGGAAGAACACCGAUGGCGAAGGCAGGCAUCUGGCCAUGAACUGACGCUGAGGCGCGAAGGUGCGGGGAGCAAACAGGUUUAGAUACCCUGGUAGUCCGCACAGUAAACGAUGUGCACCA